UUUUAUGAGAGUUUGAUCCUGGCUCAGGACGAACGCUGGCGGCGUGCCUAAUACAUGCAAGUCGUACGCUUCUUUUUCCACCGGAGCUUGCUCCACCGGAAAAAGAGGAGUGGCGAACGGGUGAGUAACACGUGGGUAACCUGCCCAUCAGAAGGGGAUAACACUUGGAAACAGGUGCUAAUACCGUAUAACAAUCGAAACCGCAUGGUUUUGAUUUGAAAGGCGCUUUCGGGUGUCRCUGAUGGAUGGACCCGCGGUGCAUUAGCUAGUUGGUGAGGUAACGGCUCACCAAGGCCACGAUGCAUAGUCGACCUGAGAGGGUGAUCGGCCACAUUGGGACUGAGACACGGCCCAAACUCCUACGGGAGGCAGCAGUAGGGAAUCUUCGGCAAUGGACGAAAGUCUGACCGAGCAACGCCGCGUGAGUGAAGAAGGUUUUCGGAUCGUAAAACUCUGUUGUUAGAGAAGAAYAAGGAUGAGAGUAACUGUUCAUCCCUUGACGGUAUCUAACCAGAAAGCCACGGCUAACUACGUGCCAGCAGCCGCGGUAAUACGUAGGUGGCAAGCGUUGUCCGGAUUUAUUGGGCGUAAAGCGAGCGCAGGCGGUUUCUUAAGUCUGAUGUGAAAGCCCCCGGCUCAACCGGGGAGGGUCAUUGGAAACUGGGAGACUUGAG
This 674-nucleotide ribosomal RNA is filed under the name Enterococcus faecium. RNAcentral describes it as "bacterial SSU rRNA". It matches the Rfam family "Bacterial small subunit ribosomal RNA", at positions 1 to 646 of the family's 1533-position model. The record is from RNAcentral. Lineage: Bacteria; Bacillati; Bacillota; Bacilli; Lactobacillales; Enterococcaceae.